This 429-nucleotide ribosomal RNA is filed under the name Pseudomonadota bacterium. RNAcentral describes it as "Proteobacteria bacterium partial 16S ribosomal RNA". It matches the Rfam family "Bacterial small subunit ribosomal RNA", at positions 355 to 776 of the family's 1533-position model. The record is from RNAcentral. Lineage: Bacteria; Pseudomonadati; Pseudomonadota.
UGGGGAAUAUUGGACAAUGGGCGAAAGCCUGAUCCAGCCAUGCCGCGUGUGUGAAGAAGGUCUUCGGAUUGUAAAGCACUUUAAGUUGGGAGGAAGGGCAGUAAGCGAAUACCUUGCUGUUUUGACGUUACCGACAGAAUAAGCACCGGCUAACUCUGUGCCAGCAGCCGCGGUAAUACAGAGGGUGCAAGCGUUAAUCGGAAUUACUGGGCGUAAAGCGCGCGUAGGUGGUUCGUUAAGUUGAAUGUGAAAGCCCCGGGCUCAACCUGGGAACUGCAUCCAAAACUGGCGAGCUAGAGUAGGGCAGAGGGUGGUGGAAUUUCCUGUGUAGCGGUGAAAUGCGUAGAUAUAGGAAGGAACACCAGUGGCGAAGGCGACCACCUGGGCUCAUACUGUCACUGAGGUGCGAAAGCGUGGGGAGCAAACAGG